GACGAACCGUGCAAACGUUAUUCGGAAUCACUGGGCUUAAAGGGCGCGUAGGCGGGCUGGCCAGUCUGUGGUGAAAUCCCCCGGCUUAACCGGGGAACUGCCGUGGAUACUGCCAGUCUCGAGGAGGGUAGGGGCAUCUGGAACAGCCGGUGGAGCGGUGAAAUGCGUUGAUAUCGGCUGGAACUCCGGUGGCGAAGGCGGCAUCCUGGACCGACAUUGACGCUGAGGAGCGAAAGCCAGGGGAGCAAACGGG
This 253-nucleotide ribosomal RNA is filed under the name uncultured bacterium. Its description in RNAcentral is "partial 16S ribosomal RNA". It matches the Rfam family "Bacterial small subunit ribosomal RNA", at positions 524 to 776 of the family's 1533-position model. The record is from RNAcentral.